This is a long non-coding RNA of Cyprinus carpio (common carp), 662 nucleotides long. NCBI's taxonomy places the organism in Eukaryota, Metazoa, Chordata, Actinopteri, Cypriniformes, Cyprinidae. The record is from Ensembl.
AAAGAAAGAGGACGCCUGGGUGCAGCUAACGCUGAUUUCAAUGUUUCUGCAGGGAUUAACGACAAGCGCGAUGUAAAUAGUCUGAAAGCUGCUGGAAAAACCUCAAAGCAAAAGCGAAAAAAAGAUGGAGCACCUGAGAGAAGGGACACAUUUCUCACUGGUGGUGUCCCCCCUACUGGAGAAAUAGUUUCAUUGUCACAAAAAAAUUAUCCAGACGAUUCUGCAACAGAUAACCCCAUCUCACAACCCAUUACCCUGCAGACCAGCUGCAGUCACCGACAUCGUCCCACAAAAAUGCGAAUGAUGACGCUGAAAGGACCGGUUCCUGCACGCCUGCCGCGCCUCAUAAACGCGUCAGCGGUGGAGCAGCUCAGAGCCCGCGAAGAACAAAAGACAAAACAGUGAGUUUGUGAUCCUUAAGAAUGUUUAAGAAAGUUCAAAUUAAAUGUGUAGUACUGUGUUUGGUGAAAUGUGUGGGAUCAAAUGUUUAAACGGUAUAAAGUUACAAUUAAUGAAAUGUUUACUGUUGGGAAAAGAUUGUUUUGUGAUUUUUGAUGUUCAAAUCUUGUGAAAAUAUAGAAUGUAGUAGAAAAUUUACUUAAAAUGAGAUCUAGUGCUAUUUUUUUUAAUAAAGUGAAAUUACUUUAUAAAGUUUUAUUACA